Molecule: ribosomal RNA, 200 nt
Filed under: uncultured bacterium
Lineage: Bacteria
Description: partial 16S ribosomal RNA
Rfam family: Bacterial small subunit ribosomal RNA
Source: RNAcentral
AGCGAACGCUGGCGGCAGGCCUAACACAUGCAAGUCGAACGCUCCGCAAGGAGAGUGGCAGACGGGUGAGUAACGCGUGGGAAUCUACCUAGUUCUACGGAACAACAGUUGGAAACGACUGCUAAUACCGUAUACGCCCUACGGGGAAAGAUUUAUCGGAAUUAGAUGAGCCCGCGUAAGAUUAGCUAGUUGGUGAGGUA